Molecule: ribosomal RNA, 253 nt
Filed under: uncultured bacterium
Lineage: Bacteria
Description: partial 16S ribosomal RNA
Rfam family: Bacterial small subunit ribosomal RNA
Source: RNAcentral
UACGUAGGGUGCAAGCGUUAAUCGGAAUUACUGGGCGUAAAGCGUGCGCAGGCGGCUUUGCAAGACAGAUGUGAAAUCCCCGGGCUUAACCUGGGAACUGCAUCCGAUACUGGAUGGCUUGAAUCCGGGAGAGGGAUGCAGAAUUCCAGGUGUAGCGGUGAAAUGCGUAGAUAUCUGGAGGAAUACCGGUGGCGAAGGCGGCAUCCUGGACCGGCAUUGACGCUGAUGAGCGAAAGCUAGGGGAGCAAACGGG